Myotis myotis is the source of this 2369-nucleotide RNA transcript. It is a transcript of the gene named CD200 molecule, with no coding region annotated. The record is from RefSeq and is a predicted model, not a curated record. The transcript is spliced from 8 exons. NCBI's taxonomy places the organism in Eukaryota, Metazoa, Chordata, Mammalia, Chiroptera, Vespertilionidae.
CGCGUGUCUGUUGGGUGGGAGGAGUGAAGCGGACCAGAGGUAGGCAGCCUCCGUGGAGGCUGCUGCGCACAGCGCGCUCCGGCGGCGUGAGAUCCCCUGGGCUUUCCAGCUGAAGCCGGACACCCUGCUCGGCCAGGAGCGAAGAUGGAGAGGCGGGUGUUCGAGAGGUCCUUCUGUCAUCUGUCUACCUACAGACUGAUUUGGUUCUUGGCCGCAGUGAUGCUAUGCAGGGCACAAGUGGUGACCCAAGAUGAAAGAGAGCCGCUGAACACACCAGCUUCUUUACGAUGCUUCCUGGAAACUCCCCAGGAAGUCGUGAUUGUGACAUGGCAGAAAAUGAAGGCUUCAAGCCCAGAAAACAUGGUCACUUUCAGCAAGGAGCAUGGGGUCGUGGUCCAACCCGCUUAUAAGGAUAAGAUGAACAUAACUGAGCUGGGACUUCAGAACACAACCAUCACCUUCUGGAAUACCACUCUGGACGAUGAAGGGUGUUACAAGUGUCUCUUCAAUACCUUCGGUUCCGGGAAGAUGUCAGGAAUAGCCUGCCUCACCCUCUUUGUGCAGCCCAAAGUAUUCCUUCACUAUAAAUUAUCUGAAGACCACCUAAAUGUCACUUGCUCUGCCAAUGCCCGCCCAGCCCCUGCAAUCUCCUGGAAGGUCGCUGGGUCAGGAAUGGACAACAGUACUGAGAUUAUCACACACCCCAAUGGGACCACGUCUGUCAUCAGUGUCCUCCACAUCAAAGACCCCAAGAAUCAGGUGGGGAAGGAGGUGAUCUGCCAGGUGUUACACCUGGGGACUGUGAAAGACUUCAGUCAACCUGUGAACAAAGGCUUUUGGUUUUCAGUUCCACUGCUCUUAAGUAUUGUUUCCCUGGUAAUUCUUCUGAUCUUAAUCUCAAUCUUACUAUACUGGAAGCGUCACCGGACCCAAGACAGAGCAAGGCUGCAUUCUGAAGGAAGGUGUGAUGAGUUAGAGGCAAUUUCUCUUUGCUCCAUUCCUGAUGGGAUCAUUGCAGUUACUUCCCAUGAGACUGCGACAAUAAGAUAAUAGAUGAGGGCUGGAUGAGUGGUAAUCCUCAUCCCUACCCCAAUUUCCUCAUAGUUCUAAGAAGAAAGGAUGCAAUGCUUUUAUAAGAAAGAGCCCUAGGAGAGCUGCAGAACUCUGGAAAUUAUUCUCUGGUCUACUUGAAUCUGAUGCAGGAAGAAAGCAGGAGUGAAAGGGUUAUUCUCCAGGGACCUAUGAGAGAAAAAGAGGUGGAAGUAAAAGGCUUAAGAAUUUCAAGACUUUCUACUGCCAUCUAAGCUAAUUCGUGCUUGUGCGAAUUCCAAGAGGAAGUCCAUUUACCUCUCAGGUCUGUUGUAGGAUUGAUUUUGUAAAGCAAUGCAGUGUUGUGCUAUUGAAUGGAUACUGGACUUAGCAUGAGGAGCCACAGUUUGAGACUGUCUUUGGCGGAGACUGGUGGCAACCCCAUAAUAAUCACUAUUCAAUGAACUUCCACCAUGGCAUCCAGAAAAUUAAGGAGUUGGACCAGAUAAUUUGCCAUUCUGCUCUAAAAACUGAUGUCAUUCCAGGAGGAGGGAUAUGAACAAAGGGAAAAGACAUGAACAAGAGCGAAGAAGUUGGGAAGAUUAAGGACCAAAGAACUUUUCUGAGAUUACCUUUUGCUUUUCUGUGGCUGUUCCAUCUCUUCUUCUCUUGCUGUUCAUAGGUCCAUGAAUCUGUUUCCUUGUCCCUUAGUAUCCAAUCCACUACGUGCUUACUGCUUUGCUAAUAGCUGGUCUCUCUAGAACCCUUGGUUUCACUGCUAUUCUUCAUGUAUUUCUGUGACAUCACAAUGAAAAUUGGACUGAAUUUAUUGUGAAACAACAUGGCAAGCUUAACUUUACUUGCCUAUUUUUAUAGCAGAAUAAACAUUGCUAGUCUUAGACAGCAGCUCACAUUUUAAAAAAUGCAUGCACUCCUUGCCCAUUUGUCUCAUAAUAUGACCCAGCCCUAUUUUAGGCAUUCUGAAUUCAGACUAGUACGUAUAAUGAAAAUAUAUUAUGAAUCCAGGCUUUUAGAUUUCCUAAAUAGCAGUUGGCCAGUUCAAAUGCUUUGUCUCUCCUAGCUUCUUUUCCUAUGAGUUCACUUUUCACAGUAGCAGUGGAUGCAUGUCUGGGUGUACAAUUCCCUUUGUUCUAAAUAUAUUGUUUUAACUAGUGAGAACAUUUCGGAACUCUCUAAUAAUCAUAAGGCCAAAUUAGUGACUUUUUCAGUAUCUUUGACUUUCUUGUCUCUAUCCAGUGAUCUAGAAACUAAAACUUAAGUUGUUUUCACUGUUGAAUUGAAUAUUUAUAUAUUUAGUAAACUAUUGAGAUGUUAUUUAA